GCCUACGGGGGGCAGCAGUAGGGAAUAUUGCUCAAAGGGGGAAACCCUGAAGCAGCAACGCCGCGUGGAGGAUGAAGGUUUUCGGAUUGUAAACUCCUUUUGUUAGAGAAGAUAAUGACGGUAUCUAACGAAUAAGCACCGGCUAACUCCGUGCCAGCAGCCGCGGUAAUACGGAGGGUGCAAGCGUUACUCGGAAUCACUGGGCGUAAAGAGCGCGUAGGCGGGAUAGCAAGUCAGAUGUGAAAUCCUAUGGCUUAACCAUAGAACUGCAUUUGAAACUGUUAUUCUAGAGUAUGGGAGAGGUA
This 305-nucleotide ribosomal RNA is filed under the name uncultured bacterium. RNAcentral describes it as "bacterial SSU rRNA". It matches the Rfam family "Bacterial small subunit ribosomal RNA", at positions 337 to 659 of the family's 1533-position model. The record is from RNAcentral.